This 466-nucleotide ribosomal RNA is filed under the name uncultured bacterium. RNAcentral describes it as "partial 16S ribosomal RNA". It matches the Rfam family "Bacterial small subunit ribosomal RNA", at positions 339 to 795 of the family's 1533-position model. The record is from RNAcentral.
CUACGGGAGGCUCCAGUGAGGAAUUUUGCGCAAUGGGGGGAACCCUGACGCAGCAACGCCGCGUGAGUGAUGAAGGCUUUCGGGUCGUAAAGCUCUGUCAAGUGGGAAGAACCUAUGCAGUGUUAAUAUCACUGUGUACUGACGGUACCACUGAAGGAAGCACCGGCUAACUCCGUGCCAGCAGCCGCGGUAAUACGUGGGGGUGCAAGCGUUAUUCGGAAUCAUUGGGCGUAAAGGGCACGUAGGCGGCUUGGUAAGUCAGAUGUGAAAGCCCGGGGCUUAACCCCGGAAGUGCAUUUGAUACUGUCAGGCUUGAGUAUGGGAGAGGGAAGUGGAAUUCCUGGUGUAGAGGUGAAAUUCGUAGAUAUCAGGAGGAACACCGGUGGCGAAGGCGACUUCCUGGACCAAUACUGACGCUGAGGUGCGAAGGCGUGGGUAGCAAACAGGAUUAGAUACCCUCGUAGUC